UACGUAGGGUGCAAGCGUUGUCCGGAAUUAUUGGGCGUAAAGAGCUCGUAGGCGGUCUGUUGCGUCGGCCUGUGAAAACCCGGGGCUCAACCCCGGGCCUGCAGCCGAUACGGGCAGGACUAGAGUUCGGCAGGGGAGACUGGAAUUUACGGUGUAGCAGUGAAAUGCGUAGAUAUCGUAAGGAAGACCAGUGGCGAAGGCGAGUCUCUGGACAGCAACUGACGCUGAGGCACGAAGGCCAGGGGAGCAAAACGGG
Molecule: ribosomal RNA, 256 nt
Filed under: uncultured bacterium
Lineage: Bacteria
Description: partial 16S ribosomal RNA
Rfam family: Bacterial small subunit ribosomal RNA
Source: RNAcentral